Microtus ochrogaster (prairie vole) is the source of this 381-nucleotide long non-coding RNA. RefSeq lists it as uncharacterized. Lineage: Eukaryota; Metazoa; Chordata; Mammalia; Rodentia; Cricetidae. The record is from RefSeq and is a predicted model, not a curated record. The transcript is spliced from 3 exons.
GUAACAUGAGGUUACAGGAACGUUUCUCAUGUCCGGAGAGCAAAGAAGUGUCCUCUGACAGCAUUCUUCAACAACGGUUUGACAACUUGAGGGGUCUAGCGAUCAUUAUUCACAGGAAGAUUUAGGAUGUGUUUGGUUGCACCUCUUGGGGAAAUUUAUUCAAUUCUAUGGUGUGCUUCGGCGAAAUAAUCCAAGAAAUACAUGAAUAUUAUGAAAAAAUACUAUGUGUGUUUCUUCACAGCAUAUGUGAAAGACUGGAUAUUUAGACCAGGCUUGAUCCAGUCAGCACAUACACCUGAGAUGAACUCUAGCCUUUAGCAGCUUGGAAAUCAUUCAGGAACGUGAACCUUAUGAGUCAACAAUUAGAGUGGACACUGGCAU